UACGAAGGGGGCUAGCGUUGUUCGGAAUUACUGGGCGUAAAGCGCACGUAGGCGGAUUUGUUAGUCAGGGGUGAAAUCCCGGGGCUCAACCUCGGAACUGCCUUUGAUACUGCAAGUCUCGAGUCCGGAAGAGGUGAGUGGAAUUCCUAGUGUAGAGGUGAAAUUCGUAGAGAUUAGGAGGAACACCAGUGGCGAAGGCGGCUCACUGGUCCGGUACUGACGAUGAGGUGCGAAAGAGUGGGGAGCAAACAGG
RNAcentral lists this ribosomal RNA (253 nucleotides) under uncultured bacterium. RNAcentral describes it as "partial 16S ribosomal RNA". It matches the Rfam family "Bacterial small subunit ribosomal RNA", at positions 524 to 776 of the family's 1533-position model. The record is from RNAcentral.